Molecule: ribosomal RNA, 247 nt
Filed under: uncultured Actinomycetes bacterium
Lineage: Bacteria; Bacillati; Actinomycetota; Actinomycetes
Description: uncultured actinobacterium partial 16S ribosomal RNA
Rfam family: Bacterial small subunit ribosomal RNA
Source: RNAcentral
AUUGAACGCUGGCGGCAUGCCUUACACAUGCAAGUCGAGCGGUAAGGCCCUUUCGGGGGUACACGAGCGGCGAACGGGUGAGUAACACGUGGGUGACCUGCCUUUAGCUCUGGGAUAAGCCUGGGAAACUGGGUCUAAUACCGGAUAUGACCUCAUGAUGCAUGUUGUGGGGUGGAAAGUCUUGUGCGGCUGGAGAUGGGCCCGCGGCCUAUCAGCUUGUUGGUGGGGUGAUGGCCUACCAAGGCGA